UGGGCAACCUGCCCUCAGCACUGGGAUAACUCCGGGAAACCGGAGCUAAUACCGGAUACGAGACCGAUUGGCAUCUUUACGGUCUGGAAAGUUUUUCGGCCAGGGAUGGGCUCGCGGCCUAUCAGCUUGUUGGUGAGGUAAUGGCUCACCAAGGCGACGACGGGUAGCCGGCCUGAGAGGGCGAUCGGCCACACUGGGACUGAGACACGGCCCAGACCUCCGUACGGGAGCA
This 232-nucleotide ribosomal RNA is filed under the name uncultured bacterium. Its description in RNAcentral is "partial 16S ribosomal RNA". It matches the Rfam family "Bacterial small subunit ribosomal RNA", at positions 118 to 347 of the family's 1533-position model. The record is from RNAcentral.